ACGGAAGGCAGCAGUAGGGAAUCUUCGGCAAUGGGGGCAACCCUGACCGAGCAACGCCGCGUGAGUGAAGAAGGUUUUCGGAUCGUAAAGCUCUGUUGUAAGAGAAGAACGUGUGUGAGAGUGGAAAGUUCACACAGUGACGGUCACUUACCAGAAAGGGAAGGCUAACUACGUGCCAGCAGCCGCGGUAAUACGUAAGUCCCGAGAGUUGUCCGGAUUUAUUGGGCGUAAAGCGAGCGCAGGCGGUUUAAUAAGUCUGAAGUUAAAGGCAGUGGCUUAACCAUUGUUCGCUUUGGAAAAUGUUAGCCUUGAUUGCAGAAGGGGAGAGUGGAAUUCCAUGUGUAGCGGUGAAAUGCGUAGAUAUAUGGAGGAACACCGGUGUCGAAAGCGGCUCUCUGGUCUGUAACUGACGCUGAGGCUCGAAAGCGUGGGGAGCAAACAGGAUUAGAUACCCUGGUA
This 459-nucleotide ribosomal RNA is filed under the name uncultured Streptococcus sp. Its description in RNAcentral is "partial 16S ribosomal RNA". It matches the Rfam family "Bacterial small subunit ribosomal RNA", at positions 341 to 792 of the family's 1533-position model. The record is from RNAcentral. Lineage: Bacteria; Bacillati; Bacillota; Bacilli; Lactobacillales; Streptococcaceae.